GCAUUUCGGUCCACUCUGCAAUUUAUUUUUUUUAAAUCCAGCUCAGAGCUGGGACAGACUAUUAUGACUCACCAGCUCUUUUUAAAGGACGGCUGCUUAGAUGCUCAGAAGGUAGAAAAUGUCUUUCAGGCAAAAGACUUGCUUCUGCUGCAGGUGGCUGGCUUUCUGGCUAAUUCUGUCCACACUGGAAGGGCAAGAUUCAAGCCUCCUCCCUCAUGAAGAAUACAGCAACGUCAAGCAUGAACCUGGCACAAAGGGGGAUGAACACAGCAACAGCCCCGAGUUCCCAGCUGGAUGCAGGCCAAGAAGACUAACAAAGCGAUCCAACUCGUUUGUAACACCACCCAGAGACGUGAAUAGUGAAGAAUCCAACUGUCAAAUUAUUCCAAUCACGACGACAGUGAAGCCAACCACUAGACUAAGGACCACAGCCAAGAACCCCAAGAAGGCAACAACUUACUGCACAAGAGCAACGCUACCACGAUGCUGGCCUUGGAGACAACUUUUUUGUCCCUACUAUCACCCAUGUCAAAAGCGCCCCCUCUAUUAUCCUGUUAGAAGAGGCACCCAUGGUUAUCAGAGUAACACAUCUGAGAAAUCUCUGAGUCUGAGCGAGGAGUCCUCAGAAGAGAAGAGAAGGAAAAGAGACACACUUAGAAUAGUCUGGAAGGGAGCGAGAAAUUCUGAGAAGAAUGAGUAAGGAUUGCCCACUAAGUAUAUAGUUAACUUCAACGAAGGCAACCUUAAAGAAAUGGGCUUAAAACCUGCGCUUCACCUGCAGGGACAUUAGCAGAAGCGGGUAGACCUGCCGGUGGGGUUUCCUACUUUCCAAACCUGAGAUGAAGGUGUAAGUAAGCGAGUAAACACAAUUCCUUUCUGAUUUGAGGCCUUUCUGCACUUGCCUGCCCUGAUCUGGAACUGUGGGUCUGGAUUUGGCAGGGGUGUGUCCGGAUCUGGUCUGGAUCUGCGCCCCCGCCAUGAGCUUCAGAGUCAGACCCAACGGCCACCCAGGGGACCCAUUUUGGGGGCGCAACAAGAUGCACUGCUGAAACAGGCCCCCCACGACCUCUUUAUUGAGGUCUACUGGGAUUCUAGAUUUAAAAUGGAUCAGAAGGUCGUUUGGGGUCUUUCGAUCCAGAUUACACUUCAUCUUGCACCGAUGGAGCGUACUAACGGGGUCAGGGCCUCUCUAGUCUGCGCAAGCAUGAGGACAAAGGAGGCCCAGGAGAGGGCUANGCAGUGGUCUAAUCCAGAACAAAGGUAAGUGCAGAAAGGCCCUUUGUUAGAAAAAGUUCUUCGGUAAGCAUCAACAUUUAACUGUACGGUAUUUCUACUGGAAAUUAUAAGAUCCUGUAAGGAAAUUAUUUGACAUGAAACGUUAUGAAAUUUGUGGAACAGCUAUGGUGUAUUGAUUUCAUUA
This 1420-nucleotide long non-coding RNA is filed under the name Salvator merianae (Argentine black and white tegu). RNAcentral's name for it is "lncRNA (ENSSMRG00000016906.1)". Lineage: Eukaryota; Metazoa; Chordata; Lepidosauria; Squamata; Teiidae. The record is from RNAcentral.